CUUUCAGUUAUAAUUAAACUUACACAUGCAAGUCUCCCACUCCAGUGAAAAUACCCUUUAUCUUCCAACUAUAAGAAGAAAAGGAGUUGGUAUCAGGCUCAAUUGGCCCAAGACACCUAGCUUAGCCACACCUCCAAAGGAUCUCAGCAGUGAUUAACAUUAAACAUUAGCGCAAGCUAAAUUUAGUUAUAAUUUAUAUGGUCGGUUAAUUUCGUGCCAGCCACCGCGGUUAUACGAAAGACUUAAACUGAAAGCCACCGGCGUAAAGCGUGAUUAGGGGUAAAAAUCUUCUAAAGCUAAACUCUGAUUUAAUUGUUGUAAGUUAAUAUCAGAUGGAAACCCAUUCACGAAAGUAGCUUUAUUAUUCCUGACUUCACAGUAGCCAAGACCCAAACUGGGAUUAGAUACCCCACUAUGCUUGGCCCUAAACUUUGAUAAUUACAAUUCACC
Molecule: ribosomal RNA, 450 nt
Filed under: Leptobrachium smithi (Smith's litter frog)
Lineage: Eukaryota; Metazoa; Chordata; Amphibia; Anura; Megophryidae
Description: partial 12S rRNA
Rfam family: Bacterial small subunit ribosomal RNA
Source: RNAcentral